CUUUCUUGUCUAGAUAAGAAAUCAGUCGAUUGCUGCAAUCAUCCCGAUUUCCAGCUCAAAUUCCAUUUCCAACCCAAAUCACAUUUCCAACACGAAGCGAAUUUAAAAAAAAAUUUCCAACUCAAAUAUCAAAUUUCCAUGCACUUCAAAUUCAAAUUUCCAACCCAAAUCAACUUGCAAGCUUGAAUCAACUUUGUAGCUCGAAUUUCAAGCUCAAAGAAUUCAAACUUUACCCACAUAAAGCUUAUGGUUAUGCAAGCCUAACAGAAAGGCUUAGAGUUCGUGUUAUUUUAAUUUUAGGAUAGGUAAUAGAAUCCUCACAUAGCCUCAACCACAACAAGAGGAUGGACGGAUAUACGAAAUACAUAGUUAACAACAAGGACCCAGUUUACAAUAUCUCACUGCAUGGUCUACUUUCCAGACCCUGCGAAGAUAUAAGAAAACCAUUUACUAAAUGAGAUACAGGAAAAUUACACACCACAAAAUCACAAGCGACUGUGCAGAUCUUAUUACCAAUUCCUAAUUUGCAAUAUCGCGGCAUGAUAAAUGUGCAUCAUCAAAUCACACCUAUCAAUUACCAAGUAAUAACUUUACAUGCAGUACAUACUAGCUUCAAUUACGAUAUUUCUACAAUGGAUUGACAUAAAUAGGCACAAAACAGCGCACAGAUUAUACGCGUGCACAUAAUAUGCGGUGUUUAACGGCAUGGUCUACUUUGAAGAGCCCGUUGAAAAUAUAAGAAAUCAUUCAAAUAAAUAAUGAUUAUAAGUAAACCACAAACCAAAGGCCCAAGACGCAUGUGGCAGUCCUAUUACCUAUUCCAAAAUUAAAAUAUAUAAAAGUACUUUGGGCAGGUCAAGAGGUGCAUGAUGUGUUCGACGGAAGAGUACAUGGUGAUACUUUCAAGCCUGUAACUUUAUUCUCUGUUUUGCCCCUCUAUGCUAUGCGUUAAUUGUUAAUCUAGAUUGGUUUCAACCGUCCUUAAAUGCUUAAAAGCAUGCAAUGUACUCUGUAGGCGCAAAGCAAUUGAUUACUACUCUUCCUGAAAAUAAACGCUUUAAAACGG
Paramuricea clavata is the source of this 1066-nucleotide non-coding RNA. The record is from the annotation of a GenBank genome assembly. NCBI's taxonomy places the organism in Eukaryota, Metazoa, Cnidaria, Anthozoa, Malacalcyonacea, Plexauridae.